UGGGGUAGAGCUCAGUGGCAGAGCACAUGCUUAGCAUGCACGGAGUCCUGGGUUCAAUCCCCAGUGCCUCCA
RNAcentral lists this transfer RNA (72 nucleotides) under Camelus bactrianus (Bactrian camel). It matches the Rfam family "tRNA". From Rfam's summary of the family: Transfer RNA (tRNA) molecules are approximately 80 nucleotides in length. RNAcentral also lists the same sequence under 1 other name. The record is from Rfam by way of RNAcentral. Lineage: Eukaryota; Metazoa; Chordata; Mammalia; Artiodactyla; Camelidae.